CCUACGGGAGGCAGCAGUGAGGAAUAUUGGUCAAUGGACGCAAGUCUGAACCAGCCAUGCCGCGUGCAGGAAGACGGCACUAUGAAUUGUAAACUUCUUUUGUCAGAGGGCAAACACAGAUACGCGUAUCUGUCUGAGUGUAUCUUACGAAAAAGCAUCGGUUAACUCCGUGCCAGCAGCCGCGGUAAUACGGAGGAUGCAAGCGUUAUCCGGAUUUAUUGGGUUUAAAGGGUGCGUAGGCGGUCUGUUAAGUUAGAGGUGAAAUCCCGGGGCUCAACCUCGGCACU
Molecule: ribosomal RNA, 287 nt
Filed under: uncultured bacterium
Lineage: Bacteria
Description: partial 16S ribosomal RNA
Rfam family: Bacterial small subunit ribosomal RNA
Source: RNAcentral